Molecule: long non-coding RNA, 487 nt
Organism: Ornithodoros turicata
Lineage: Eukaryota; Metazoa; Arthropoda; Arachnida; Ixodida; Argasidae
Exons: 3
Source: RefSeq, a predicted model, not a curated record
UUGUUCGCUCAGUUGCUCGAGCUGACGCUCGCUACUGUAGUGUUUCGAAGUUUAGUAAGUUUAUUUCUUGUCCAGCGUCGUGCGUAUGUUUUCUUGCAAUCUGUCGGUCAACUGGACAGGUCCGGCAUCCUGUCCAAUACGCAAUGAGCGAUAUCGUUAAGCGUAACAACGAGGGCUGCUGUAGCGGGGAGGCAACGUCCCUUAUUUGUUCUCUGUACUUCAGGUUUCAGGGAAUGAUGUUGCGAAUGAGUGACGAGCACAAUGGAGAUGUGGGACUGACCUAAAUGUGUUAACAAGAUUGUCGUUUGGUUGCGGUCGAUGCUGUCUGUUCAGUGUACUGGCGACGAACAAUAUGGAGAUAUGGGACUGACGUGCUGGCAGAGUCAUGGAAUGAAGGUCACGAUUACUACGCCUGGCCUGUAAGCCAUUUGUUGGCACUUCAGCUGGGCUGGAGCUACGAUCACAUUUUAGGUAAACGAAAACAGUU